RNAcentral lists this ribosomal RNA (441 nucleotides) under uncultured bacterium. RNAcentral's name for it is "partial 16S ribosomal RNA". It matches the Rfam family "Bacterial small subunit ribosomal RNA", at positions 338 to 795 of the family's 1533-position model. The record is from RNAcentral.
CCUACGGGCGGCAGCAGUGGGGAAUAUUGCACAAUGGGGGAAACCCUGAUGCAGCAACGCCGCGUGAGUGAAGAAGGCUUUCGGAUUGUAAAACUCUGUUAGCAGGGAAGAGGAAGGACGGUACCUGCAGAGGAAGCAACGGCUAACUACGUGCAAGCAGCCGGGGUAAGACGUAGGUGGGAAGCGUUGUCAGGAAUAACUGGGAGGAAGGGAUGGGUAGGCGGUUAAACAAGUUAUAUGGUAAAUAUAUAGGCUUAACCUGUAGAAAGCAGAUAAAACUGUCUAAGUAGAGUGCAGGAGAGGUAAGUGUAAUUCCUGGUGUAGCGGUGAAAUGCGUAGAGAUUAGGAAGAACACCAGUGGCGAAGGCGACUUUCUGGACUGUAACUGACGCUGAGGCAUGAGAGCAUGGGGAGCAAACAGGAUUAGAUACCCCUGUAGUC